GUACCGUUAGUUCAGUGUAAGAACGCCGAUGCCAAGUCGGAGGUCACAGGUUCAAUUCCUGUACGGUACA
Molecule: transfer RNA, 70 nt
Filed under: Ruminococcus sp.
Lineage: Bacteria; Bacillati; Bacillota; Clostridia; Eubacteriales; Oscillospiraceae
Description: tRNA-Trp
Rfam family: tRNA
About the family: Transfer RNA (tRNA) molecules are approximately 80 nucleotides in length. Their secondary structure includes four short double-helical elements and three loops (D, anti-codon, and T loops). Further hydrogen bonds mediate the characteristic L-shaped molecular structure. tRNAs have two regions of fundamental functional importance: the anti-codon, which is responsible for specific mRNA codon recognition, and the 3' end, to which the tRNAs corresponding amino acid is attached (by aminoacyl-tRNA synthetases). tRNAs cope with the degeneracy of the genetic code in two manners: having more than one tRNA (with a specific anti-codon) for a particular amino acid; and 'wobble' base-pairing, i.e. permitting non-standard base-pairing at the 3rd anti-codon position.
Source: RNAcentral